UAUUUCACACCAGCAGAGCUGAAAUGGUUUGUUUAUUGAUCAUAAUUGAAAAAUUUGUGACAAAUUUUCUGUUUCAGCUUCCCAAACACGAUAUUGAGCUGCUUUUCUGUAUUUUAUGUGAUCAAAAAAACACAGUUUUGGAGACUGAUUUCCUCCUUAUAACUCACAAAUUUUGAGAAAAGCAUCAGUAUUAACUCGGUUGUACUAGAUUGUAUUUUGACUGAAGUGAGGUGAAAACCUAUCUGAACUAAUUUCACUGCUGCAUGUGUUUUAAACCUUGGAGCGGAAAACAAUAUUUGAGUUCGGUGAAACAAAAAUUUAACAUUUGCUGCAGAUUCGUGAAAAUAAAUCCAAAAGUAUUUCUCUCACACAGUUUUCGAGACUGGUGUCCUCCUUAUAACCUACAAAUGUUGAGAAAAGCAUCAGCGUUAACUAGGUUGUACAAUUUCAAGAUCAUUUUGACUGAAAUGAGGUGAAAACCUGUCUGAACCGAUUUCAUUGCUGCAUGUAUUUUGAACAGCAUUUGAGUUAAGUGAGACGCAUAAAAAUUCAACAUUUCCUGCAGAUUCAUGAAAAUAAAUCCAAAAGUAUCUCUCUCUGUUUAAAAAAAAAGGAUCAUCUCAUGGUGAGGCGAAGGAUUCAUGUACAGUACGUGUGAGGGUGCAGGAAGGAGCUGCUUUUCUGAGCGAUAAGUGCGAAGGAGGCUGCUCACAGCUUGUUUCAAGAUUCUGAUUUAUCUCCCAAACCGAUCCCUGAAUGUUGUGUCCAGCUCUUGAAAACUGCACGCUGAACCCACACAUCACCUUCUUCUGACUAGCUGUGCGCAAGAGGGGGGGAGAGAUGGGUGCUGUUCGAGUGAGUGAAAUGUGUGGCUGGAAAUUACUGUACACCUCAGUCUCAGUCAUCUGGAUGGCAGGAUCCCAGCAUGAGCCCAAACAACAAGGAAAUACUCUGCAGUCCUAAAGCACCUAUAAAAACCUUCAGACUGAUCCCCGGUGUAAUUAGAGGCUGGAGGAGAAAAUGCUGGUGAUAAUUAAAAUCUUACCCAUUACUUCUUUGCCUGUUUAAACGUGCUCGCUUCGGAUUGAACGGCCCUGGUGUCGAUUUCACUCUGUUUUGUUUUGUUUUGUUUGAUUCUCGCUGCCAAAUUGAGAUGAUGGAGGCUGGAGUAUUUGAAUAAAAGCGUAGGAAUCAGAUGAUGAAGCGAGAGGACAUGAAAGGUCGUGAUGGUGGGAGAGUGAGGCUACAGUUACACGAUUCACAGAGCCGCUUUUCUCAGUUACGCUGCGUCAGGAAUAACUCACAACCGCCUCACCAGAUUUCGCUGUUUUUUUUCUUUUUUCCUCAAGUCAUUGCUCUUUUCUUCCGAUCCAGUCUAAUUGAAAUUCUUUAAGAUCUCGCCUCAUCACAAUCGGGGGAAAGGGAGAAAGCUAAGCAGCUGACACUGAAAAGUUGUUGAAAUACAGUAAAAAGGCAAAAAGCUAGAGUCCACAUUGUGCGCAUACAGAGCACCAGCUGGUAUUUUUAGUGCGGCUGUAGGUGUGUGGUGAGUGCAGUGUGUCCUUUUGUGCUCCUGUUGUUUAUAACGAGACCCAAUUCACUCUGAUAAGAGAGUAGAUUACAGUAUGUGUGAGA
This is a non-coding RNA of Xyrichtys novacula (pearly razorfish), 1635 nucleotides long. Lineage: Eukaryota; Metazoa; Chordata; Actinopteri; Labriformes; Labridae. The record is from the annotation of a GenBank genome assembly.